GAACUUCACAUUGCUACUGGCUGCUAGCAGCUAAUAGCUAUUUUGCCUGUUUCAAGCUCCCCACGACAUGAUUCAUUGUCAUUUUUGCGGGAGAACAUUGCACACGUUAAAGGGUUCUGUGUUGCAUUGUAGGGUUGUGAUGUUCCAUUAUGUGGAGGACACUUGCCUGGCUAGAGAAGUGGACAUCAACAGAGUUCCCUUGACUCCCACGAUUGUUGUAUGUGAUGUUUCUUCUCUAUUAAUCCGGAGAAGGGGACGAAAGUGGAACAAACAAAAACAAAACGGCUCCAUGUGAAUCCAAGAGUCCUUACUUUGAUUCAGGACUUCUCAGACCAUGAAUGGCGAGCUAUUUAAAAAGAUGUUCCUUCAAGUGACCGCGACAGUGAACACCCAUAUGUUUCUCUAGAUGUUCUUCCAGAAGCAAUGCAGUUGCAUGUUAAUCAAGCCUUUACCAUGAUUCACAAGCUCUCCAUGAAUGGCGAGCUGUUUAAAAAGGUGUUACUUCAAAGUGAUGGAGCCGAUGAACACCUAUAUCACCUUUUUUCGUGGCUCUAUAUUAACAAGGUUCACAUUUAUUCACUCACAAUCCCUCUCUCUCACAAACAGAAGUGCAA
Molecule: long non-coding RNA, 614 nt
Organism: Cyprinodon tularosa
Lineage: Eukaryota; Metazoa; Chordata; Actinopteri; Cyprinodontiformes; Cyprinodontidae
Exons: 4
Source: RefSeq, a predicted model, not a curated record